RNAcentral lists this ribosomal RNA (302 nucleotides) under uncultured bacterium. RNAcentral describes it as "bacterial SSU rRNA". It matches the Rfam family "Bacterial small subunit ribosomal RNA", at positions 773 to 1073 of the family's 1533-position model. The record is from RNAcentral.
ACGUAAUAGAUACCCGGGUAGUCCACGCCGUAAACGAUGGAUGCUAGCCGUCGGCAAGCUUGCUUGUCGGUGGCGCAGCUAACGCAUUAAGCAUCCCGCCUGGGGAGUACGGCCGCAAGGUUAAAACUCAAAGGAAUUGACGGGGGCCCGCACAAGCGGUGGAGCAUGUGGUUUAAUUCGACGCAACGCGAAGAACCUUACCAGCUCUUGACAUGUCCGGACGGUUUCCAGAGAUGGAUUCUUCCCAGCAAUGGGCCGGAACACAGGUGCUGUAUGGCUGUCGUCAGCUCGUGUCGUGAGAU